AUAUCAAUAAGCGGAGGAAAAGAAACUAACAAGGAUUCCCCUAGUAACUGCGAGUGAAGCGGGAAAAGCUCAAAUUUAAAAUCUGGCGGUCUUUGGUCGUCCGAGUUGUAAUCUAGAGAAGUAAUGCCCGUGCUGGACCGUGUAUAAGUCUCCUGGGAUGGGGCGUCAUAGAGGGUGAGAAUCCCGUCUUUGACACGGACUACCAGUGCAUUGUGGUAUGCUCUCAAAGAGUCGAGUUGUUUGGGAAUGCAGCUCAAAAUGGGUGGUAAAUUCCAUCUAAAGCUAAAUAUUGGCGAGAGACCGAUAGCGAACAAGUACCGUGAGGGAAAGAUGAAAAGAACUUUGGAAAGAGAGUUAAACAGUACGUGAAAUUGCUGAAAGGGAAACGCUUGAAGUCAGUCGCGUUGGCCGGGGAUCAGCCUUGCUUUUGCAUGGUGUACUUUCUGGUUGACGGGUCAGCAUCAAUUUUGACCGCUGGAAAAGGGCCUGGGGAAUGUGGCAGCUUCGGCUGUGUUAUAGCCCCUGGUCACAUACGGCGGUUGGGAUUGAGGAACUCAGCACGCCGCAAGGCCGGGUUUCGACCACGUUCGUGCUUAGGAUGCUGGCAUAAUGGCUUUAAGCGACCCGUCUUGAAACACGGACCAAGGAGUCUAACAUGCCUGCGAGUAUUUGGGUGAAAAACCCGAGUGCGCAAUGAAAGUGAAAGUUGAGAUCCCUGUCGUGGGGAGCAUCGACGCCCGGACCAGAACUUUUGGGACGGAUCCGCGGUGGAGCAUGUAUGUUGGGACCCGAAAGAUGGUGAACUAUGCCUGAAUAGGGUGAAGCCAGAGGAAACUCUGGUGGAGGCUCGUAGCGAUUCUGACGUGCAAAUCGAUCGUCAAAUUUGGGUAUAGGGGCGAAAGACUAAUCGAAC
This 913-nucleotide ribosomal RNA is filed under the name Agaricus pseudopratensis. Its description in RNAcentral is "LSU rRNA". It matches the Rfam family "Eukaryotic large subunit ribosomal RNA", at positions 40 to 940 of the family's 3401-position model. The record is from RNAcentral. Lineage: Eukaryota; Fungi; Basidiomycota; Agaricomycetes; Agaricales; Agaricaceae.